RNAcentral lists this long non-coding RNA (9308 nucleotides) under Homo sapiens (human). Its description in RNAcentral is "non-protein coding lnc-USP32-2:12". The record is from RNAcentral. Lineage: Eukaryota; Metazoa; Chordata; Mammalia; Primates; Hominidae.
GUUUGGCGUUGCAGCUGUGUGGGCGCUGGUGCGUGCGAGUAGCGCUCGAAGAAACCCAAAGGCGUCGUGGGGCUGCCGUGUGCCCCAGAGAGCACUGCAGGCCGGGUAGGGGCUAAGGCUCCCCGCAGUCUUCUGUGUGUCGUCCAGUACGCAGUUGAAAUCGUUCUCCAACCUGGCCAGUCCUCCGAGGCCCUUCUCAGGCGACCAGACUCUGUUAACAGAGUCCAUUGCUAAAACUCCUCGUUAGUAUUUACCACUCCUCCAGUCUGUGUUUUGAAGCAGUGGUUUUCAACCACUGCCCGUUUUCAGAAGAAAUCAUCUCAAGCGUCCGUGUGCUGCUAGAAGCCGGGCCGGGAGGUCUUGGUGCCGGACUCCACCCUGCAGCCCUUCCCUUUCGCCACCGCCCUGUGCUUAGAGAAACCUUAGAGUGGAGCAAUGAGUCGCCCUUGACUGAGUAACUCUUCGGGGUCAACUUCUCCUUCCACGCCAAGGAAAGGAUUCCAGGGCGAUGUUUCUGGAAAUAGAGAUCUGACCAAGCCACUGCUCUGGUGAAAAUUCAGUGGGUCCCUAGCACCUAGUGCAGCGGCUCCUAGCCUGAGUAUUGCCGUCUUUCGGUGGGGAGGGGUUGGGUUUUUUUGUAGCAUCUGUUGAUCUGAUCUCCAACAUCCUCCACGUCAAUUCCCACUCCACCCACAUCCCUUAUCCUAUACGUAAGCUUUCCAGCCACGGUGCUGGCUUGGGUGGGGGUGCGUGCGGUGCUGACACCAAAAUGGAGGUCCCGUGUUUCUGAGAGUCUCUUUCAGAGCAAUGCAAACCUGAAACUACUCCUGCCAAGAAACGAUUGCAGCUCUUCCCGGAAAAGUUAAAGCCUUUGAGAAACAAAGCUGAGGUGGGUAACUUAAUUAAAAAAAUACAGAGAGGAGUUUCAAGUAGACUAAGUGGGAAGAAAAGGAAAGAGUCUUGGGUGGGGCAGGGAUUCAGGGCACCAGCUUCCUUAUCGCUGAGCCUGGGGGGUGGGGGAGGAGGGGGCAUGUGUUGUCACGGGAGGCAUUGAUAGAGCAACCUCCUUCAGGGAAAGAAAAAUGGAGAUAGGAAGCAGAGUGAGGAAAGGCCACAGUGGAGUCUGAGGGCUUCGGGGUGGACUUCUGGCAGGAGCCUUCUCCAGCCAUGGCUUUAGGGCUGAUAUGGUUAGGUGCUUUGUGUCCCCACCCAAGUCUCAUCUUAAAUUGUAAUCCCCAUAAUCCCCACGUGUCAAAGGAGAGACCUGGUGGAGGUAAUUGAAUCGUAGGGGUGGUUUCCACCAUGCCGUUCUCAUGAUAGUGUGUGAGUUCUCAGGAAAUCAGAUGGUUUUAUAAGGGGCUCUUCCCCCAUCACUCCACACUUCUUUCUGCUGCUUUGUGAAAGAGGUGCCUUGCUUCCACUUCUGCCGUGAUUGUAAGUUUCCUGAGACCUCCCUAGUCAUGCAGAAUUGUGAGUUAAUUAAACCUCUUUCCUUUCUAACUUACCCAGUCUUGGGUAGUUUUUUGGUUUUGUUUUGUUUUGAGAUGGAGUCUCACUCUGUCACCUAGGCUGGAGUGCAGUGGCGUGAUCUCGGCUCACUGCAACCCCCACCUCCCAGGUUCAAGCGAUUGUCCUGACACAGUCUCCUAAGUAGCUGGGAUUACAGGCACACACCACCACGCCCAGCUAAUUUUUGUAUUUUUAGUAGAGACGGAGUUUCACCAUGUUGGCCAGGCUGGUCUCCAACUCCUGACCUCAAGUGAUCUGCCCACCUCGGCCACCAAAAGUGCUGGGAUUACACAUGUGAGCCACCGUGCCCGGCCUUUUUGUUUUGUUUUGUUUUUGAGACAGAGUCUCACUCUGUCACCCAGGCUGGAGUGCAGUGGUGUGAUCUGGCUUACUGCAACCCGCACCUCCUGGGUUGAAGUGAUUUUCCUGCCUCAGGCGCCCACCACCACGCCUGGCCAUGGGCAGCUCUUUAUAGCAGUAUGAAAACAGGGUCCCUCUCGGUUGUCCUGUCUGGACUGUCAGUUCACCUGAGCUAGACUCAGGCAGGGGGCUUCCUUUGGCUUUGCUCACCUUGCUGCUGUGGGUCCACUUCAAUAAGAUGACAACAAAGCAGAGCUCACCUGAGGACAUGCAAGAGCCCUCGUUUAUGGAGCUUGCAGACUUCACAAGACUCCUAAGAAUUGUUGAACGAUCGCUGGUUACGGCUUCUUGAGAUGGAUUACUUGCUUGCUGAAGCACCUGCUUGCUUGACUGUUGCUGCCUGAAUUCCUCUUUUUCCCAGGAGACCAGCUAGGGUGGGGAGAGCCUUGCUGGAGCCCUAAGCAAGGAAGGCUGAUUUCCAGGGGUGUAGGCUGGCUGACACGGGUGUCACUUUGUUAUAGAUUAAGAUAUACCACAUAAGCAAUAUGGCAAAGUUGGGGGUUUUUUUUUGUUUUGUUUUUGUUUUUGAGAUGGAGUUUCGCUCUUGUUGCCCAGGCAGGAGUGCAAUGGUGCAAUCUGGGCUCACUGCAACCUCUGCCUCCCACGUUCAAGCAGUUCUUCUGCCUCAGCCUCCUGAGUAGCUGGGAUUACUGGCAUGCGCCACCACGCCCGGCUAAUUUUGUAUUUUUAGUAGAGACAGAGUUUCUCCAUGUUGGUCAGGCUGGACUCGAACUCCCGACCUCAGGUGAUCCACCUGCCUCGGCCUCUCAAAGUGCUGGGAUUACAGGCGUGAGCCACCAUGCCUGGCAUAUAUGGCAAAGUUUUAACACCAUUUUUUACUAAGAUAAGUAUCAUAAAGGACUUUGUAAAGAAUAUAUUACAACCGAUCAGGCCAGUGGCUUUUUGUUUGUUUGUUUAGCAGGAUUUGAUUGAACCUCAUCAUGCUAUAGAUCUUCCAUUCAGGGAUGAUGAUGUGGGCAUAGUUCAGUGGAGGCUGCCUGCAAUGAAACUGGGCAGAGGCAAGAAUCGAGAGAUCAGCUUUAGCCCAGCUCCCAGGAGCACCAGAGUUAAGAAGGAUAUCUCCUAGAGGGAAAGCCAGAGACCAGGCAAGGGAACAUACAUGAACACCCAGCCUGUGCUCUGGUGUGAGGUUGCAACAGGAGUAGGAUUGGUUCAAUCAGCAUAUUUUCUUUCAUGUACUAGGUUGAAAGUAUUAGUCCAUUUUAUAGAUGAAGAAAUGGAGGCCCAGAGAGAUCACGUGACUUAGCCAAGUCCACCAAGUGAGUAGACGGAGAUGACCUGACCUCUGGAGUUCUGUCUCUAACAUACCCUAGUUCUUUCUUGAUUGUCCAUAAUAUACAAACACAGUGGCCUGAGAAUAUUUACUCCCCUGGUCACUAUUUCUUCAGCUGGAAAGGGAAACAAAUUAGUAACAUUUGAAAAAACAAAAACCCCAACAACUAAAAAAGUAUUACUAAAUGCAAUGCUGUUUGAGAGAACAAACUGUCAACAAAAAUAAUACUUAAUUCUCUGGAAGUGAAAUUAAUUAAAAAUUCAGAGGAGAUACCAGAACACUAGCUGGUAGGAUUAAAUAAGUGAAGGACCAGCUGGAGCAACAUAGCAAGACCUCAUCUCCUCAAAAACAAAAAAGAAAAGAAAAUUAGGCGUGGUGGCAUGUACCUGUAGUCCUACUUACUUGGGAGGCUGAGUGUCAAGGGUUGGGGGGAGAGAGGAGGAUUUGGAAGUAAUGACUCAGGGGGGUGGGGUUUCUUCUUGGGGUGAAAUGUUGGGGAUGGAAAUGUUCUGAAUUUAGCAUGCUGGACCACAUCAAGUUCAGAAGCUUCUGAACAGCGAAGGAAACAAUCAAUGAAGAGACCCACAGAAUGAGAGAAAAUAUUUGCAAACCACUCAUCUGAAGCUCAGAUAACUCCAUAGGAAAAAAAUCGAAUAAUCCGAUUUAAAAAUGGGCAAAAUAUCUGAAUAGACAUUUCUCAAAAGAAGACACAUAUUCUACAUUGAAAAAAAAAAAUAAGGCCGGGCGCGGUGGCUCAUGCCUGUAAUCCCAGCACUUUGGGAGACUGAGGAGGGCAGAUCACCUGAGGUCGGGAGUUCGAGACCAGCCUGACCAACAUGGAGAAACCCCGUCUCUAUUAAAAAUACAAAAUUAGCUGGGUGUGGUGGCACAUGCCUGUAAUCCCAGCUACUAGGGAGGCCGAGGCAGGAGAAUCGCUUGAACCUGGGAGGUGGAGGUUGCAGUGAGCCAAGAUUGUGCCAUUGCACUCCAGCCUGGGCAACAAGAGCGAAACUUUGUCUCAAAAAAAAAAGAAAUAAGACAUACAAAUGGCAAACAGGGCCAGGCGCAGUGACUCACUCCUAGAAUCCUAGCACUUUGGGAGGCCAAGGCAAGUGGAUCACCUGAGGUCAGGGGUUUGAGACCAUCCUGGCCAACAUGGUGAACCCCUGUCUCUACUAAAAAUAUAUAUAUAAAUUAGCCAGUUGUAGUGGUGGGCUCCUGUAACCCCAGCUACUCUGGAGGCUGAGGUAGGAGAAUUGCUUGAACCCGGGAGGCAGAGGUUGCAGUGAGCUGAGAUUGCACCACUGCAUUCCAGCCUGGGCGACAGAGUGAGACCUUGUCUUAAAAAAAAAAAAAAUGGCAAACAAACAUAUAAAAAGGUGCUCAACAUCAUUAAUCAUCAGAUAAAUGCAAAUCAAAACUAUAAUGAGAUGUCAUCUCACCCCAGUUAAAAUGUUUUCUGUCCAAAAGACAGGCAGUAACACAUGUUGGUGAGGUUGUGGAGAAAAGGGAACCCUCAUAUACCAUUGAUGGAAUGUAAAUUAAUACAAUCACUAUGGAGAACAGUUUGGAAGUUCCUCAAAGACUAAAAAUAGAGUUACCAUACGAUCAAGCAAUCCCACUGCUAGGUAUGUACCCAAAAGAAAGGAAAUCAGUAUAUCUAAGAGAUAUCUGCACUCCUGUGUUUAUUGCAGCACUAUUCACAAUAGCCCAGAUUUAGAAGCAACCUAAGUGUCCAUCAACAAACGAAUGGGUAGAGAAAAUGUGGUACAUACACACAAUGGAGUACUAUUUAGCCAUAAAAAAGAAUGAGAUCCUGUCAUUUGAAACAACAUAGAUGGAAAUGGAGGUCAUUAUGUUAAGUGAAAUAAGCCAGAAAGACAAACAUCGCAUGUUCUCACUUACCUGUGAGAGCUAAAAAUUAAAACAAUUCAACUCAUGGGCAUAAAGAGUAGAAGGAUGAUUAUCAAAGGCUGGGAAAGGUAGCAGUGGGGCGGGGGUGGGAAGAGGGGAUGGUUAGUGGGUACAAAAAAAUUAGAACAAAUAAGACCUAGUAUUUGCUAGUACAACAGAGUGACUGUAGUAAAAAAUAAUUUAACUUCAUUUAAAAUUAACUAAAAGAAUAUAAUUGGAUCAUUUGAAACACAAAGGAUAAAUGCAUGAGGUGAUAGAUACCCUGUUGACCCUGAUGUGAUUAUUAUGCAUUGUAAGCCUGUAUCAAAACAUCUCAUAUACCCCAUAAAUAAAUACACCUACUAUGUACUCACAAACAUUAAAAAUUAAAAUAAAUAAAUAUAACGUGAUGGUUGCACGCUUCAGUGAAUAUAAUUUUUUCAAUGUUUUUAGCUUUUAGGUUCAGGGGUACAUGUGUGUGUUUGUUAUAUAGAUAAAUUGUGUGUUAUGGGGGUUUAGUGUACAGAUUAUUUCAUCACUCCAGUAAAAAGCAUAGUAUCUGAUAGGUACAUUUUUUCUUUUCUUUUUUUUUUUUUUUUUUUUUUUUUCUGUGAGGCAGAGUCUUGUUCUGUUGCCCAGGCUGGAGUGCAGUGGUAUAAUCAUAGCUCACUGCAGCCUCGACCUCCCACCUCAAAUAGCUGGGACUACCAGUUGUGCACCAUCAUGUUCAGCCUUUUUUUUUUGGAGAUGGUAUCUCACUCUGUAGCUGAGGCUGGAGUACAGUGGCACGAUCUUGGCUCACUACAACCUCUGCCUCCUAGGUUCAAGCAAUUCUCCUGCCUCAGCCUCCUGAGUUGCUGGGACUAGAGGGGCAUGCCGCCACACCUGGCUAAUUUUUUGUAUUUUAGUAGAGACAGGGUUUCACCGUGUUGUCCAGGCUGGUCUUGAACUCCCAAUGCUCAGCUAAUUUUUAAAAUUUAUUAUUUUGUAGAGACAGGGUCUCGCUAUGUUGCCCAGGUUGGUCUCGAACUCCUGGGCUCAAGCGAUUCUCCACCUUGGCCUCCCAAAGUGCUGAGAUUACAGGCAUGAGCCACCAAAUUAUACACUUUGAAUGGAUGAGUUAAAUGGUAUGUGAAUUAGAUCUUUAUAAAUCUGUUCAAAGGAUAGCAGUCACUCACUUUAGCCGAGAGAGAUUAUUUGGUAUUUUAUGGGUGACAGCAUAGUGACCUUGUUUUUGUCAGUGCUUAGACAAAAUUAUGACAUGGCCUUGCCUUGCCUCAUUUUAUCAUGGUCUCAGAGUAACCUUAUUGGAGGUUGGAAUUCUGUGAGUUUGUUAAUGUUCCCCAUGAAAGUCAGAUGAGUUUGUGACAACAUUGAGGUCUAACCAUGAAUGUCAAAUCUGCUCCGGAUGUCAGGAAGUGCUUUUUUUCUUUCUCAGCUAAUAUUGGGAAGCUCAGCAGGGUCCUGGGGGCCCACAGGAAUGUGAAUAAACACGCUUGGAAAGUCUGCAGAAUUUCCAGUCCUAGCCUCCUGCUGGUGUGAACCUGGGCUCCUGUGCCUGGGACCCUGGGAGGUGGGGGGACACCGGGCUGGAGGAAAUAAUGUGCCAUCUGGGAUUUUUUGUGCUUUCUUCUGUCUGUUGCUAUUUCAAAAUAUUUAAAGGCAGAAAGUUCACCACCUGCUCUGUCAAGGAGGCCCCGUCAUACCCCAGUGACCGCCUCCAGCUCUCACCCCUCUCUGUUGACCCCCUAGGAAUCCCUGAACAGCCCAGGGAGGACUUGGACGGUGGGGUGAAGGGAAGGGACAGGACCUGCAGCCUUUUCUGGCCCAGGCAAGAAGGAAACUUCCUGUCUUUCUUCUCCAUUGCAGAUUUGGGAUUAAGCCUUAUUUUGCAUUGGGUUUAAUCUCAACAGACACCGAGGGGCACCUGGAGUCCCUGCAAAACCUUGUCUGGUAUCAGCUACCUAUCAGAGGAUGCAGAGGACAAGGUCAGGUAGAGGCUGUUUCCAGUGAGAGGAAGGCAGGGGGAGGGCAUGGAAGGAGCACUGGAAAUGGGGUGGGAAAACCAAAGCUCCCUCCAUGCAGGGCUACUUAGGUGAGUCCCUUCCCUGUCUGGGCUCCCUUCCUUCCUUCCUUCCUUCCUUCCUUCCUUCCUUCCUUCCUUCCUUCCUUCUUUCCUUCCUUUCCUUCCUUCCUUCUUUCCUUUCUUCCUUGCUUCCUGCUCUCUCUGUUGCCCAGGCUGGAGUGCAGUAGCAUGUCCUCGCCUCACUGCAGCCUCGACCUCCUGGACUCAAGCCAUCCUCCCACCUCAGCCUCCUGAGUAGCUGGAGCUAUAGGCGUGUGCCACUACACACGGCUAACUUUUGUAUUUUUUGUAGAGAUGGGGUUUCACCAUCUUGUCCAAGCUGGUCUUGAACUCCUGGGCUCAAGCGAUCUGUCCACCUCAGCCUCCCAAAGUGCUGGGAUUACAGACAUGAGCCACCGUGCCCAGCCUGUGCCUUAGCAUUCUAUCCUAUGACUCAGAGGUAGCUGAGCUCCAUCUUCUAAAAUCAAGUGACCAUCACUGAGGCUGUCUCCUCCCCUAUAAAAUCAGGAUUGUGUUACUCAUUGUAGAAAAACCAGUAACCCCAGCAAGCAAGCUCACCCCCCUGGCUCCACAGACCUCCCCAGUCUCAUCUCUCAAGACUCCUGCCCUUCACAAGAUGCUCUGGCGCACCCCAGCCCUGUGCUCCCUCUCAUUUGGUUUCCUCUGCUUGGAUUGCCCUUCUCACCUUCUUUAGUUGGUGUCUGCUCACCUUCUAAGACUCAGCCCAGUCCUUAUCUCCUCCAGGAAGCCUUCCCCAAUCUCCCUUCCACUGGCUGGGUUAGGUGCUGUCCCUUGGGCUCCUAUCAAGUCUGGGCCAUUGCUGUCCUAAUAAUGUGGCUGAUAAUUUAUAGCUAGUCAUUAGAGUUGUAAUUUAUUGAGCCCUUACUCACAGCCUGCCCCUGAACCAGACCCUUUAUACAGCGUCACCUCAUUGAAUCUGACAAAGUAUAACUCAGCUCCUAGUUCAAAGUAAACAUCUGCCCUGCCAUUGAUCCCGCUGAGGUAACAGAAAUAAAGCCAGCUGUGGAGGUAACACGAAACAGUAGUUCUCCCAAGCAUAGGGUACAGCUAGAAAGUGCCACAACGUGCCUGCCUGCAAUGUGUGCACGUGCGUGCACACGUGUACGUGGAUAAACACGUCUGUGCACGUGUAUGUUGCUUCUCUGGCCAGGCCUGGCUGCCCCACUCAUGUGCACCCAGUUCCUCAUCACUGUCACCCCCGAGGCCCAGGGCCAGCAUCAGAGCAUCCCUGGCUGCUCCCUAACCUCAGCCCUCCCCGCCCAGGGUGGUCCUGGGAUACACAUAGGGGUGGAGGGAAGUGACUGCUGCUGCUGCUGGAUCUCAGAAUACAAAUACUAAUACUAUUACCUAAUGGUCUUUUUAGUGUCCCUAAUGGUCUUUUUAGUGUCUCUAAUUGUAUCUCUUUUUCGUUUCUGAUAUUUUAACUGGGUAUUUCUCUCCAUGACCCUUGGAUAUUCUAGCUAGAGGAUCCUGUGGGGAAAGUGCCGGGCACACAGUAGGGGCUCACUCUUCUAGACGUGUUAUCUAAAACCUGGUUCAUCUGUCCUUCCACGCAGGGCCUAGGGGAUGCCAAAUUCCAGGGUCCAGAAAGAGCUUGGGAUAAAAUGAACAUCCAAGGGGAGGGCUUUGACCUGGGCUGAGUCUGCCUGUGCCGAGUCUGCCUGUGCCAUCCAACUGGAGUCUCAAGUCCUGAGGCAGGACGUCCAGAUGCCCCAGUGCAGGGUCCUCCUGAUCAACACCUGCUCCCCUGUACUCAUUAGCAACCUCACCCACCCUACUCUCAAAGCACACUUGGCUCUCAUAUCCAGGAGCUCUGCAUCUGUAGAUUCAGCAACAGCAGAUGGAAAAUAUUCAGAAAAUAAAUUGGACAGUUAUAUUUCUAUUGAACAUGUGCAGACUUUGUUCUUGUCAUUAUUCCCUAAAGAAUACAGUAUCACGACCAUUUAUGUAGCAUCUGCAUUGUAUUACACAUCCUGAAUAAUCUAGAGAUGGUCUAAUGUCUACAGGAGGAUGUGCAUAGCUGAUAUGUAAAUACUAGGCCAUGUUAUGUCAGAGACUUGAGGAUCCAUGGAUUUUGUCAUCCCC